This 671-nucleotide ribosomal RNA is filed under the name Thermococcus sp. Tc85-SC-ISCS. RNAcentral's name for it is "bacterial SSU rRNA". It matches the Rfam family "Archaeal small subunit ribosomal RNA", at positions 12 to 677 of the family's 1478-position model. The record is from RNAcentral. Lineage: Archaea; Methanobacteriati; Methanobacteriota; Thermococci; Thermococcales; Thermococcaceae.
UCCUGCCGGAGGCCACUGCUAUGGGGGUCCGACUAAGCCAUGCGAGUCAUGGGGCGCGCUCUGCGCGCACCGGCGGACGGCUCAGUAACACGUCGGUAACCUACCCUCGGGAGGGGGAUAACCCCGGGAAACUGGGGCUAAUCCCCCAUAGGCCUGAGGUACUGGAAGGUCCUCAGGCCGAAAGGGGCAUCUGCCCGCCCGAGGAUGGGCCGGCGGCCGAUUAGGUAGUUGGUGGGGUAACGGCCCACCAAGCCGAAGAUCGGUACGGGCCAUGAGAGUGGGAGCCCGGAGAUGGACACUGAGACACGGGUCCAGGCCCUACGGGGCGCAGCAGGCGCGAAACCUCCGCAAUGCGGGCAACCGCGACGGGGGGACCCCCAGUGCCGUGGCAUCGCCACGGCUUUUCCGGAGUGUAAAAAGCUCCGGGAAUAAGGGCUGGGCAAGGCCGGUGGCAGCCGCCGCGGUAAUACCGGCGGCCCGAGUGGUGGCCGCUAUUAUUGGGCCUAAAGCGUCCGUAGCCGGGCCCGUAAGUCCCUGGCGAAAUCCCACGGCUCAACCGUGGGGCUUGCUGGGGAUACUGCGGGCCUUGGGACCGGGAGAGGCCGGGGGUACCCCUGGGGUAGGGGUGAAAUCCUAUAAUCCCAGGGGGACCGCCAGUGGCGAAGGCGCCC